CCAUACAAGGAGGGGAUUUUGUGUCCUUUGUUAUCACAAGGGGUAUUUUUGGCCCUAAAGUAUAACCAAGAACAAUGUUAGCUAAAUAGUUGAAAGUAGAGAACAUAUUUGACCCUUCAACCUAAAAAACACAGUGUAGGUAUAUUUCUCAAAAAUCCCAACAGUGAUUAAGACCAUCAAGUUCAUUAGGAGAGAUUGUAGAAACAGACACAAGAAAACUACCCACAAACAACUAGCACACUGCUCCAGUUAGGCUGGGCCAUAACUGUACCCAAUAACACCAAGGCAUAAAGAGCCUCAACACACAAUACUGCAAAUGCAAUGAAUUCUGUAAGGACAUUUCUGUUACUUGGUCCAACAUGUACCAUCGACACCAACUUCUCCUUAAGUUGCAACACAAGACUGCACGACAUUAGUUAUUGAGGAAAAUAUGAAGCCGCUCGAGUUGCAAACAUAUAAAGGAAUCAAGAUGACUAUAAUAAAUGAAAUGUGAUUUUUCCUCUUCAAGAGGGAAUUUGUGUUCUCAGCCAAGUUCAUUUUGCUGACGACCAGUCCCUACUGCUUUCCCUUCUCCUUAACUUGAUUGCGAAGUUAUGUCAACACCCGGGCAAUGACCAAAAGAUGCUAGGAAAAACCUCCACAAAAUCAAGUAGAGAUGACUAUCAAAAGCCACACAGUAUCGUUCCCAUUAAAACGUGUAGCUGCUAUUUAUUCAACACUGAAUUUUGACUUCUGCAACAUUUGCAUGGUCUUUCAAGCACCAUGGCACGCAUUUCAUAGCCUCAACAUUCUAGAAAAACAGACCACCAACAUCUUCAAGUAGCUAUACAACUUAUAUCAAUCUCCCUAGUCUGGACUUGUUACACAGAUCUAUUUCCUUCAAACCUGUACUUCCACCACUUCCCUGCUAGUAGAUGAGCUUCCAGGCUUGUGAUCCUAAUGUACCUGCCUAAAAACCCGCGAGAAAAUUCUUUAGGGAAAAACAUGAACUUGCGCAGUUACAAAGCCUUUACUCUUCUAUUUCCAGACUCUUCUGACUGGCACUUGCAACCAGGCUCACCUCCUUUCUUGUCUGAAACAAGUCAAGGGAGUGGGUGGCGAGUAUGGUAAAAAAACAUAAAUAAGUUUGGAAGCACAACCAGGGUCUUCACCACUAAUGACACCCCUCCAUCCAUAAUAAAUAUCCUUACAAGACAGAGAAGAGCCGAAACAAGUGAAAUUGCAGGACUUAAUAUGACUAUUAAAAUUGAACAAAAUAAAUAAGAUGUCAAGACUUCUCGCAGUUACAAAGAUUCAAGGACAAAAGAGUUUAUACGUGAUAAGGGUGUGAUAAGGGUGUCGAAAUGAACCCAAAUUGAGCUGACCCGCCCAACAUUUAAUGGGUUGGGUUCAAGAUAAUUAGUAAAUCUCAACCCGUUCUUCCAACCCAUUUUUAAAUUAGGUUCAAAUGAGCCCAAUUCAAUCUCCACUUCAACCCGUUUAAUAUAAAAAUGAUUUUCUUAAUGGAAGUAAGAAAAACAAGUGACAAUGUGCCCUCCCACUCUCAAAAUCACCCACCUCACCUCACCCCAACC
This 1574-nucleotide long non-coding RNA is filed under the name Capsicum annuum. RNAcentral describes it as "long non-coding RNA (CANN_LNC022215)". Lineage: Eukaryota; Viridiplantae; Streptophyta; Magnoliopsida; Solanales; Solanaceae. The record is from RNAcentral.